RNAcentral lists this transfer RNA (55 nucleotides) under Bos taurus (domestic cattle). Lineage: Eukaryota; Metazoa; Chordata; Mammalia; Artiodactyla; Bovidae. RNAcentral also lists the same sequence under 4 other names. The record is from Rfam by way of RNAcentral.
AGCUUUCCCGGUAAAGCGUCUGUCUGCAAUGCAGGAGACCAGGGUUCAAUCCCUG